This 492-nucleotide ribosomal RNA is filed under the name uncultured bacterium. RNAcentral's name for it is "partial 16S ribosomal RNA". It matches the Rfam family "Bacterial small subunit ribosomal RNA", at positions 29 to 507 of the family's 1533-position model. The record is from RNAcentral.
AGUGAACGCUGGCGGUAGGCCUAACACAUGCAAGUCGAACGGCAGCACAGUAAGAGCUUGCUCUUACGGGUGGCGAGUGGCGGACGGGUGAGGAAUACAUCGGAAUCUACUUUUUCGUGGGGGAUAACGUAGGGAAACUUACGCUAAUACCGCAAACGACCUACGGGUGAAAGCAGGGGAUCUUCGGACCUUGCGCGAUUGAAUGAGCCGAUGUCGGAUUAGCUAGUUGGCGGGGUAAAGGCCCACCAAGGCGACGAUCCGUAGCUGGUCUGAGAGGAUGAUCAGCCACACUGGAACUGAGACACGGUCCAGACUCCUACGGGAGGCAGCAGUGGGGAAUAUUGGACAAUGGGCGCAAGCCCGAUCCAGCCAUACCGCGUGGGUGAAGAAGGCCUUCGGGUUGUAAAGCCCUUUUGUUGGGAAAGAAAAGCAGCAGGUUAAUACCCCGCUGUUCUGACGGUACCCAAAGAAUAAGCACCGGCUAACUUCGUG